AUUUUCUGGCAUGUUAAAAGCACAAAAAUAAGUAAUUGAGAUGACAAAAAUAGCAGCAGAUAUUUGAAUUUAAGUUUGCAUACAAUGUGUCCGUCAUUGAUCAUAUAGAAUGACAUUGAUUUGAAGCUCACAAAAAGCUGCCACGUAAUCAUAAGUGAACAGACUUCAAACUCAAGAUAACCAAACCAAACUCAACUCAACUCAACUCAA
This 210-nucleotide unclassified non-coding RNA is filed under the name Hevea brasiliensis (rubber tree). The record is from RNAcentral. Lineage: Eukaryota; Viridiplantae; Streptophyta; Magnoliopsida; Malpighiales; Euphorbiaceae.